RNAcentral lists this transfer RNA (71 nucleotides) under Marmota monax (woodchuck). Its description in RNAcentral is "tRNA.Ala". The record is from RNAcentral. Lineage: Eukaryota; Metazoa; Chordata; Mammalia; Rodentia; Sciuridae.
GGGGAUGUGGCUCAGUGAUAGAGUAAUGCCUGGCAUGCACGAGGCCCUGGGUUUGAUCCCCAGCACCACAA